Molecule: ribosomal RNA, 786 nt
Filed under: Triticum aestivum (bread wheat)
Lineage: Eukaryota; Viridiplantae; Streptophyta; Magnoliopsida; Poales; Poaceae
Description: partial small subunit ribosomal RNA
Source: RNAcentral
AAGAAAGGCUCGUCCUUCACAUGGAAGAGUAUAGUAGCUGGUAUACAAACGUUUCAGAGAGGAUGCAUAUGGCGAGUUGGUACUGGAUCACAUAUUGAUAUAUGGCAAGACCUGUGGAUUCCAUCUAGCCCAACAAGGAAAGUGAUCACCCCUCGCGGUGCAGUAAUGCUACAGUUUGUAGAUGAACUAAUUGAUCCAUAUCAUGGGCAAUGGGACGAAGCCCUAAUUCGGGACGUGUUUUCCCCGGUUGAUGUGCAGAGGAUUCUCCAGAUUCCUCUAAAUGUUCAGGUGGUGGAAGAUUUUGUUGCAUGGCACUACACGAGAUCAGGGAUCUUUUCAGUCCGGUCUGCAUAUCAUAGGCAGUUCGAGCACACGUAUGGCAGACACCUCACUAGAUCAGAUGGGCAAGGCAAUACUCAAGCAAAUUCCAUUUGGCAAAAAGUGUGGAAUCUCAAACUUCCGGGUAAGAUUAAACACUUUGCUUGGAAGGCCCUGAAUGGAUCGCUUCCUUGUUACGGUAUCUUAGCCAACAGACACAUCCCUCUAGUCCCGCAAUGCCCGGUUUGUUCUGUGCGAGUGGAAGAUAUACAACACUGUUUAUUUUCAUGUACAAGGGUACAGGAGGUGUGGGAAGAACUGGGUUUACAUGAAAGAAUAAUGGAAGCAGUUAGACAGGACCGCUCAGGAUCAGUUACAAUGGAGAUACUUAGUGCAAUGACGGGCGUCUCUGAUGAUCUCCCUAUACCUGAACUUAUUUUGGUGGCUGCUUGGUACCUGUGGUGGUAG